This 490-nucleotide ribosomal RNA is filed under the name uncultured bacterium. RNAcentral describes it as "partial 16S ribosomal RNA". It matches the Rfam family "Bacterial small subunit ribosomal RNA", at positions 28 to 507 of the family's 1533-position model. The record is from RNAcentral.
GAUGAACGCUAGCUACAGGCUUAACACAUGCCAGUCGAGGGGCAGCAUGGUCUUAGCUUGCUAAGGCCGAUGGCGACCGGCGCACGGGUGAGUAACACGUAUCCAACCUGCCGUCUACUCUUGGACAGCCUUCUGAAAGGAAGAUUAAUACAAGAUGGCAUCAUGAGUCCGCAUGUUCACAUGAUUAAAGGUAUUCCGGUAGACGAUGGGGAUGCGUUCCAUUAGAUAGUAGGCGGGGUAACGGCCCACCUAGUCUUCGAUGGAUAGGGGUUCUGAGAGGAAGGUCCCCCACAUUGGAACUGAGACACGGUCCAAACGCCUACGGGAGGCAGCAGUGAGGAAUAUUGGUCAAUGGGCGCAGGCCUGAACCAGCCAAGUAGCGUGAAGGAUGACUGCCCUAUGGGUUGUAAACUUCUUUUAGAAAGGAAUAAAGUCGGGUAUGUAUACCCGUUUGCAUGUACUUUAUGAAUAAGGAUCGGCUAACUCCGUG